RNAcentral lists this ribosomal RNA (465 nucleotides) under Vreelandella stevensii. RNAcentral describes it as "partial 16S ribosomal RNA". It matches the Rfam family "Bacterial small subunit ribosomal RNA", at positions 338 to 795 of the family's 1533-position model. Lineage: Bacteria; Pseudomonadati; Pseudomonadota; Gammaproteobacteria; Oceanospirillales; Halomonadaceae. The record is from RNAcentral.
CCUACGGGCGGCAGCAGUGGGGAAUAUUGGACAAUGGGGGCAACCCUGAUCCAGCCAUGCCGCGUGUGUGAAGAAGGCCCUCGGGUUGUAAAGCACUUUCAGUGAAGAAGAACGCCUGGUGGUUAAUACCCAUCAGGAAAGACAUCACUCACAGAAGAAGCACCGGCUAACUCCGUGCCAGCAGCCGCGGUAAUACGGAGGGUGCGAGCGUUAAUCGGAAUUACUGGGCGUAAAGCGCGCGUAGGUGGCUUGAUAAGCCGGUUGUGAAAGCCCCGGGCUCAACCUGGGAACGGCAUCCGGAACUGUCAAGCUAGAGUGCAGGAGAGGAAGGUAGAAUUCCCGGUGUAGCGGUGAAAUGCAUAGAGAUCGGGAGGAAUACCAGUGGCGAAGGCGGCCUUCUGGACUGACACUGACACUGAGGUGCGAAAGCGUGGGUAGCAAACAGGAUUAGAUACCCCAGUAGUC